AAAAAACAACUUUCAGCAAUGGAUCUCUUGGUUCUCGCAUCGAUGAAGAACGUAGCAAACUGCGAUAAGUAGUGUGAAUUGCAUUCAGUGAAUCAUCGAAUCUUUGAACGCACCUUGCACUCACUGGUAUUC
RNAcentral lists this ribosomal RNA (132 nucleotides) under Saksenaea vasiformis. RNAcentral's name for it is "5.8S ribosomal RNA". It matches the Rfam family "5.8S ribosomal RNA", at positions 1 to 128 of the family's 154-position model. From Rfam's summary of the family: 5.8S ribosomal RNA (5.8S rRNA) is a component of the large subunit of the eukaryotic ribosome. It is transcribed by RNA polymerase I as part of the 45S precursor that also contains 18S and 28S rRNA. The record is from RNAcentral. Lineage: Eukaryota; Fungi; Mucoromycota; Mucoromycetes; Mucorales; Saksenaeaceae.